RNAcentral lists this ribosomal RNA (253 nucleotides) under uncultured bacterium. RNAcentral's name for it is "partial 16S ribosomal RNA". It matches the Rfam family "Bacterial small subunit ribosomal RNA", at positions 524 to 776 of the family's 1533-position model. The record is from RNAcentral.
UACGAGAGGCCCAAACGUUAUUCGGAAUUACUGGGCGUAAAGUGUGCGCAGGCGGCCGCGCAAGUCGAGUGUGAAAGCCCCGAGCUUAACUUGGGAAUUGCGCUCGAAACUACGUGGCUGGAGUGUGGCAGAGGAAGGUGGAAUUCCACGUGUAGCGGUGAAAUGCGUAGAGAUGUGGAGGAACACCAAUGGCGAAGGCAGCCUUCUGGGCCAACACUGACGCUCAUGCACGAAAGCGUGGGGAGCAAACAGG